Diabrotica virgifera virgifera (western corn rootworm) is the source of this 852-nucleotide long non-coding RNA. RefSeq lists it as uncharacterized. The record is from RefSeq and is a predicted model, not a curated record. The transcript has 2 exons. NCBI's taxonomy places the organism in Eukaryota, Metazoa, Arthropoda, Insecta, Coleoptera, Chrysomelidae.
AUUAUAGGCCGUUCCAAGAUGCUGUCAAAAUUAAAUCAAUAUGGCUACUGGAAGGCAAACAUUGAAUAUUAUUCUAUCAGGUUCUUAUGGUUUUAGAUCAUUUUAGUUGUUGUACAAAGAUUAAUUUAACAUUUUCUCUGGAAGUAUUAAUUUAGAAAGAUAAUAUGCCUCAUUGGUGUUGUGUUUUGAAGUGUGAAAUGCAAAGUAAUCGUGAUAAAGUUAGCUUUUACCACUUACCAUCAGUGCUACAUUCUAAGCACAAAACUGAACCAAUUUAACUAAAUAAGUUAUAGUUAUCAUCUGAGAGACAACAACAAUGGUAAAAUGCAAUAAAAUAUAAAGAUUUUACUAGCAAAAUGGAAAUUCCCCUGUAAUCAUCUUAUAUCUGGUAAGUUACAACAUUUGAACAUUAACGAUUUUUGAAGAUGUUAACAGUCUAAUCUUGUAGGAAAACCAGCUGACUUAACUGAUAAUAACAAUCCAGAUUGGGUUCCUUCAAUAAAUAUGGGGUAUAUAAACACAAUGAAAUGAGUUCCCCAAAAUCUAAAAUGGGAAUUAAGGUACCAAAGGAGAAUUAAAAGAAAAGGGUACCUACAAGAAAAAAUUGCUUUUUUAUUCCUCUUGAAAUGAUUUAUAAGACACUGGACUGUCUUAUAUUCUACAAAUACUAGAAUCAGCUGAGAGAAGUGGUCUACAAAAACCCAGGAAGGAAACGGAAUAUGUGGCUACGAAAGGCAAAAGAAAGGUUUACAAAGCAAAUGUGACACAUUUUUUUGAAAUAUUUAGGAAUAUCAGUAAAUUGCAUUAAAAAAUGUAUGAAAAGAUUUUGUUCAAUAAAAAUGUUUAUAUUUA